This 434-nucleotide ribosomal RNA is filed under the name uncultured Fibrobacter sp. Its description in RNAcentral is "partial 16S ribosomal RNA". It matches the Rfam family "Bacterial small subunit ribosomal RNA", at positions 341 to 792 of the family's 1533-position model. The record is from RNAcentral. Lineage: Bacteria; Pseudomonadati; Fibrobacterota; Fibrobacteria; Fibrobacterales; Fibrobacteraceae.
ACGGGAGGCAGCAGUGGGGAAUAUUGGACAAUGGGCGAAAGCCUGAUCCAGCGACGCCGCGUGAGUGAAGAAGUAUUUCGGUAUGUAAAGCUCUAUCAGCAGGGAAGAUAAUGACGGUACCUGACUAAGAAGCCCCGGCUAACUACGUGCCAGCAGCCGCGGUAAUACGAGGGGUGCAAGCGUUGUUCGGAAUCACUGGGCGUAAAGGGAGCGCAGGCGGAAGUGCAAGCGGUCUGUACAAUACCGGGGCCCAACCCCGGACCUGCAGACCGGACUGCAUUUCUUGGAUAGUUCAGGGGCAAGCGGAAUUCCUGGUGUAGCGGUGGAAUGCGUAGAGAUCAGGAAGAACACCGAUGGCGAAGGCAGCUUGCUGGGGACUUAUCGACGCUCAUGCUCGAAAGUGCGGGUAGCAAACAGGAUUAGAUACCCUGGUA